GGUGGUCGGAUGGUCGCGGGGUGGUAACACCUCGAGGAAAGUCCGGACUCCAUGAAAAGCACGGUGCUGGGUAAUACCCAGCGGGGGUAACCCUAGGGAUAGCGCCACAGAGAACAGACUGCCUUCUAUAUGGAGGUAAUGGUGAAACGGUGGGGUAAGAGCCCACCGCGGAUGUGGCAACACAGACGGCACGGCAAGCCCCACCGGGAGCAAUGCCAAAUAGGGGUCUCGUGUCGCUUGCGGCGUGGGUGCUUGGACCACAGAGACCCGGGUUGGCAGCUAGAGGCUGGUUGGUAACAAUCAGUCCAGAUGAAUGAUCAUCUCGGGGCAGCGAUGCCCUAGACAAAAUCCGGCUUACAGACCACCCG
RNAcentral lists this RNase P RNA (368 nucleotides) under uncultured Yoonia sp. RNAcentral's name for it is "Bacterial RNase P class A". It matches the Rfam family "Bacterial RNase P class A". From Rfam's summary of the family: Ribonuclease P (RNase P) is a ubiquitous endoribonuclease, found in archaea, bacteria and eukarya as well as chloroplasts and mitochondria. The record is from RNAcentral. Lineage: Bacteria; Pseudomonadati; Pseudomonadota; Alphaproteobacteria; Rhodobacterales; Paracoccaceae.